This 1053-nucleotide long non-coding RNA is filed under the name Phasianus colchicus (ring-necked pheasant). RNAcentral's name for it is "lncRNA (ENSPCLG00000005581.1)". Lineage: Eukaryota; Metazoa; Chordata; Aves; Galliformes; Phasianidae. The record is from RNAcentral.
ACCAUCUCCAUUUGUGACAAUCCCAGCAGACCAGCAUAUGCUCUGCAGAUGUGAUACAUGGAGUUCAUCACUGUCUGCUCCUCCUGGCACAGCCAGAUCAUCAGGUUAUCUUCUACUUGGCUAUUUCCAUGAAAGUCGGCUCUCUCUGGGACGGCUUAUUUCAGCUUCAUCAGCUUUCCAGACCACAGCUGGGGGUUAACACACCACUUCCAUUGAGUGUCACCUUCUUGGAGUUUCCUUCCAACUUGGGAUAUUCUACGAUUCUAUGUCAGAGGGCACUCCUCUGGGCAGGGUCCAUGCCACUUCACUCCAGAAAGUCCCCUGCCAUGGCUCUCCAGAGCCUUGUCCUUGCCAUAAAGCCAACCCAUCCCUGGUGCAGCACAGAUAUAAUUGUAUUGGAGGCUGUGUAUGUGGCAGUAAAUAUGUCAAGGAGAUGAAAUCUCAAGCAUGCUCAGGGUGAGUGAUUCACAGGCUGCUCAGUUUAUACACAGCUCAGCCAGGAGCAUGUGUUUAACUGCUUGCUGUACUGUAACACCCAGGGCUUCCUGCAUUAUCCACUUGCCCCAGCACUAGAGCUGCCACCUUCUCAAAACACUCAUCUCAUGAAGUGAAUUUCCUUUCUAUGUUUAUCUUUUUAUGCAAUUAAUAUUUUCUCAGCCAAUCACAUAUCAGUCUGCCUCCUCAAUAUCUGAAGCAAUUAAUGAGCCCCAGCUGGCAGCCAUGGCUGAAUGAGUCACUCUGCUGGAGGAAAAGAUAUUGCUGUUGCAUAUUGUCUCCUGUCAUCUGCUGAUUAAAGGUACUUGUCUCUUGUUCCCAGGUCAGAGCUGGAUCUCCAGACCUGGCUGACCCUAUGUCUCUUGAUUUGUAUGUCACAGGUGUGUUUCAAUGUAUUACUCUAUCCCUCUCUUCUUGUGCCCUGCCACAGCCAGCUUUUCUGAAUGAGGUCAAAAAGUCCUUUUUUGAACUGUCUGCAAUGAUGCCUUGCUAUUUUCCCUAGCUGACAGAGGUAACAUGUAGGUUUUUAUACUGUACGAACAGCUGAAGAGCCUUUCU